GGUAACAGUCUCUCUCAGGUGAUCCUGCUCGGUCGCGGCGCCAUGCCUCUCGAUCGUCAGGUGGCCAUGGGGAACUUUGGCAAUCAGGACAUCCUGGCCGUCUUCUACCGCCUGCGCUUCGCGGUUAGCAACCACCUAGCGGCCGCCAGGCGAGCCCGGAACCCGGCAAUGGACGUGGGAGGAGGAAGAGGAGGCGCCCGGUUGGUCAACGGUCGUAUUCGCCCACGCGGGUUCUGAGUGACUUGGCCGACUGCUCGCCCUCGCCGGUGUGUUUUGACUACAGUGCCAAAAGUCAGAGCUGGGCAAACAUAACCUACAGGAUAUUUCUUUUCAUCAGUUGCUUGGAAUCACGUAGUGUUCACUAAAGUUUUACCUGUACGUCCAUGAUCCCAUGAAGAUAAGAGACAGGUACUUUCAUAGCUGGGAUGACAGUACCAACUGCUACUAAGAGGAGGAUGAGACACUUAGACCACUGUGACAAAGCACAAGCUCUUCAGGCAAAUGUAAGCCGCAGGACCAGGAAGCUAGAAACUACAGACUGAAGUGCCUUCUGCACCCUCCUUUCCAGCAUUCAGUUCACACGCAGAGUGGCUGGCAGGUGAUGUGUGCAGUGUGCAGAAAGGCAGGUAGGGCCAGGACAUAAGUGGGCCAGACUUGCCAGUCUGCUACUGCCUGGCCUACAGCCAGGCAGGGCUGGGCAGGAGCCAUCAGGAGCUUUGAUGCUCUGCUCCAGCUUUCAGAUGGAAAAGGCAGCCACCAAGAUGUCAGGGUCAAUCUGGCAGCGGGGAUGAGAAGGCUUCAUGAAGAGGUCUACCAAGCACUGUUCUGGGUGCAGAAGACAUGAAGCCUGGGCAGUGCUGCAUCAGACCAGAUGGAAUUCCAGAGUGCUGAGUCUGGCCAGUGCUGGCUGUGGCACCAGAAGAGAGUGACAGUGCCAGACUAUUUGGAGCUGAGAGCAUUGAGCCCACCCUGUCUGCCCUGCUCAAGCCUUCCAUGGAUGUGUUGUGAAUGUGGUAUGAAAAACUCUGAAAAGACCCAGGUGCUUCUCUUCAAACUGCUGGACUAUUUGGACACCUGCUCCAUGCUCUGAGAUGUGUUCUAAUGAAGCUCUUCUAGGAUUUCUCAUAGUUUUCCUCAUUCUGUGUUAAAAUUGUCACAUAACAGAUUUGUUCCCAUCUUCCCCUGUUCACCACACAUGCCCUGUCAUUUUCUUUUCUCCCUAGGUUUCAAAUGUAGGAGCAAGAGUUUUCAGAGCCUACAUUCUCCAUGUUCAGGUCCAGUCCCUGUGCUUCUCCAUGGCAAGUCAUUCUCCCUGUGUUUGCUCUGCCUCUCACUGGAUAGAUGUAGGUGAGAGAUGUGCACCCCAGUACUCCGUGUUUUGAAUCCCAAGAAUACAUCUACAUUGAUGGCAUAGCUAUGAGCAUAGCUGCCUUCCUCAUUCAUCACAUGCCUGUGUUCAUUUUGUCAGUGGUGAAUGUUGUGCUGUGCAACCUUCUAGCCUAGAUCUGGCCCCAGCAGCCUGUAGUAUAUGAGGCACCUUAGAGAAAAGGUCUAAAUGGGCCUUAUAAGAAAAUAAGAAUACUUUCUGUUGCAUUGUGUUUUGAGUCUUUAAGUUACAGGCACAAAGCUGCAUGAAUUAAACAUUCCUAAAGUCUGUCUACUCAGCCUCUUACACUAGUCUGUCCACAGGAAGGGCAUUGAAAUAAAAGGAAAGAUGAAGAGCAGUCCAGUCCAGCUUAAGCAAGUGUCUGAUGUGAUGUGUUAUCCCUAGGAUGUGGUGGAAGUGAACACUGACAGGCAUGCUUAGUCUCAGAGACCACAACACCCAGACUUGAGUACUCUGUCCUCACCAUUGCUUUCCUGCUUCCAGACAGUUUUGCUUGGUGACAAGUUUCCUGGUAAGGGGCAGCUGACUUCUAGUGGGAACACCAAUUAUAGGACUUUCCAUGUAAGUCUCUAACAGUUGAUGUGUCUUUAGGAUGCAUGCGAGAAGUGACAGGUACUACGCCAAUGUUCAGCAUACCACAUCAGCCUGUGAUUAACCAUCAGAGUGUCCAUUAGCAUGUAGCCACUUUAGUGUUCAGUCUGCAGCCUCUCGGGUGGAGGUACAUUAGACCCGCUCUUCCCUGGCCCCUCUGGAGCUGGCCAGCUUUUCCUGUUUGUAUACUGUACAGUGCACUCUUCUGCUUCUACCUACAAGUAGAGUGAGUGUGAAUGGACAUGCUGCUGAAAGUGGCCUUCAUGCAGAAGACCCAUUUUCAGAUUCUUGUUCUGAGGACUCUGGGCUUUCUGAAAGCUCUGAGCUAUUUCAUUUCCUUAAAACCUCCCAUAGCUGGGUUAAAUGCUUUUAUUGCUGCCUCCUGUGUUGAAUGUGUGUACUGUCAAGAUUUGGAAGCGGGUAUAAAAUGUGAGUACACUAUCACUACAAGUAGUCAUUGGAAAAAGACCUCCUUUGGUCAUUCUUCACAGCUCAUUUCUUCAUGGUUUAUACUAUAAUGUUGCUUUUGAAUAGUUUCCUUGCUACUUAGCAAAAAGCAAAGGACCACUUUCCAAGUAACUGUCCAUCUGCCAGACCUUCCUUAAGUGGCUAGUCUGCCUCUUGUUGCUUUACGGGCUAGUUGCUCCCAUGCUCACCCUGUGUCGCCAGAUAGCAAGCUUCCCUGCUUUUGUUACCAACAAAGACAAGUCAACAGACUGGAGAUUCUCUGUGUACAACUCCAGGUCAAGUACUGACAGACUACCUGGUAGGUUAGAGAGUGAUGCAGACUUAACAAAACGCAGCUCUGAGGGUACCUGAUUCUUCAUGUUGACUUAGGGGACAGCAAGAGGGUCCCAUAGUUGGUGGCAUUGAACUAAAGCCUUCUGUUUGCAUGUAAUCACAAGAAUAGCACCCCUUUCCAGUUAGCCCACUUACUGAGCACCCAUCUUUUGCCAGGCAGCAUGCUUAUGUCUCAACUUUCGAGUAUUGCCCGUUCCCUAGCAAGUAGGACUAACUGUCCCCAUUUCACAGAUGAGGAAACUGAAGCUUAGGGUAGUCACAGCAUCCAAAGAAGUCCUACAUCUCAGUAACCAGGCUGAGCUUUUUGUAUAAUCCCUGGUAGGGACAGUCUGAAUGUCAAAAGGUGAUUCUUAACCUUCUUUGUUAAGAGUAUGUUGAGUAUUGACUGCCAUUUCCCCCCCCCCUCACAUUUAGGAUGCAAAUCAAAAUACCCAGAGUCUUAUCCUUUGAGCUGUGGACUUUAUAGGACACAGGCAUUAACACUGAAGGUCCCCUGAGAAAGAAAAGGGCUCAGUUCUCAUCUCUCUCUCUUUUUUUUUUUCUCUCUCUCGUGGUCUUUACCAGGUUAGCUUUUUGUUAUAUUUUGUUUUGCUUUGCUUUUUUUUUGUUUUUUUGUUUUGUUUUGCUUUGCUUUUUUUUUGUUGUUGUUUUAACUGUUUGCUUGGCUAGCCAUUGAGUAUUUCUCUCUGCUUGUUCUUAAUCUGAAGCAGCAGUUCAGAGCUGCUAACAAGAAGAAAGCUACAUGCUGCUAUUUGUAAUUGGUAUGUGCAUGAGCAAAAGACCCCCGCCCCCCCCCCCCCAAGCAAUU
Long non-coding RNA from Mus pahari (shrew mouse), 3587 nucleotides. RefSeq lists it as uncharacterized. The transcript is spliced from 3 exons. The record is from RefSeq and is a predicted model, not a curated record. NCBI's taxonomy places the organism in Eukaryota, Metazoa, Chordata, Mammalia, Rodentia, Muridae.